This is a long non-coding RNA of Panicum virgatum (switchgrass), 336 nucleotides long. RefSeq lists it as uncharacterized. The record is from RefSeq and is a predicted model, not a curated record. Lineage: Eukaryota; Viridiplantae; Streptophyta; Magnoliopsida; Poales; Poaceae. The transcript is spliced from 2 exons.
CUCGUGUCUGUGGGCUCCGCGACAAUCUGACAGUUCGGUGCGUGGCGCGGCAUGGCAUCUCAGAGAACUAAUUCGUGAAACUUCAGGGCCAAGAUGAAGGGCACUAGGAUAGUCUAUCAGAUAUCACUCUUAUCUUCAACAACUGCUACCAACUGAUGGUGACUGUGUUUUCUCAGUUCUCAUGCAAGUACUGAAGUACUUUGUAUGGCAAAGAAACAGGAAAUGGAUAUAAUUGAUAGUUAUCACUCCUAAUCUUUUGCCUUGGAUUGUAUAUAAGUGAGACUAGAUAUCUGUUAUCCUGCAAUUAAGUGAUAAAAAAAAUGUGUGUACUUGACC